AACAAGAUCAACUCUAGUUGAGAGUUGGGCGUGGCCUUAUUAUAUUUUAAUAAUAUAAUUUGGUUUGAAUAUAUCGAGUUGAUGAGCUUCCCAGUGCGGCUCAAUGUGUGCUAGCGAGACAGUCGUCCCGAUCUCACAUUAUUGUCGCAUUGCAGAGUUCUGUCCACAGCUCGCUAAAUCUACUAUUUA
This 189-nucleotide unclassified non-coding RNA is filed under the name uncultured Rozellomycota. Its description in RNAcentral is "uncultured Cryptomycota sequence contains ITS2". Lineage: Eukaryota; Fungi; Rozellomycota. The record is from RNAcentral.